ACUUCGGUUAAGCUGGUCGGUAUAGAUGACAAAAAAGGUCUUCUAAGCCUAAGGUCACUGGUUCAAAUCCAGUCCGGGGUACCA
Molecule: transfer RNA, 84 nt
Filed under: Candidatus Saccharibacteria bacterium 47-87
Lineage: Bacteria; Candidatus Saccharimonadota
Also listed under: 1 other name
Description: tRNA-Arg
Source: RNAcentral